UCUUGGUCAUUUAGAGGAAGUAAAAGUCGUAACAAGGUUUCCGUAGGUGAACCUGCGGAAGGAUCAUUACAGUAGUCACCCGGGUUGCCGCAAGGCCUCUCGGGUAACCUACCACCCUUUGUUUAUUACACUUUGUUGCUUUGGCAGGCCUGCCUUCGGGCUGCUGGCUCCGGCCGGCGAGCGCUUGCCAGAGGAUCUAAACUCUGUUUGUCUAUACUGUCUGAGUACUAUAUAAUAGUUAAAACUUUCAACAACGGAUCUCUUGGUUCUGGCAUCGAUGAAGAACGCAGCGAAAUGCGAUAAGUAAUGUGAAUUGCAGAAUUCAGUGAAUCAUCGAAUCUUUGAACGCACAUUGCGCCCCCUGGUAUUCCGGGGGGCAUGCCUGUCCGAGCGUCAUUACAACCCUCAAGCUCUGCUUGGUGUUGGGCCCCGCCGCCCCGGCGGGCCCUAAAGUCAGUGGCGGUGCCAUCCGGCUCCGAGCGUAGUAAUUCUUCUCGCUCUGGAGGUCCGGUUGUGUGCUUGCCAUCAACCCCCAAUUUUUUUCAGGUUGACCUCGGAUCAGGUAGGGAUACCCGCUGAACUUAAGCAUAUCAAUAAGCGGAGGAA
This 606-nucleotide ribosomal RNA is filed under the name Geomyces sp. APA-2013. Its description in RNAcentral is "eukaryotic LSU rRNA". The stretch from base 243 to 396 matches the Rfam family "5.8S ribosomal RNA". Lineage: Eukaryota; Fungi; Ascomycota; Leotiomycetes; Thelebolales; Pseudeurotiaceae. The record is from RNAcentral.